UUAGGUAGGUUCCACAAUCACCUUUUCCUUUCUUUAUAUAUAAAAUAUCACUUAUUGAAAAGCUAUUUGUUGGGUAGGACGCGAUAUUUUGGCUAAGCUAAUUUGCUCUAUAUAGCCAAUUUAUUAUCAAAGCAAAACUCCAUUUUGUACUCCAAUGGUUAAGCAACUAGCUAAGUAUUUUUGCAAACUUGCUAGCAAGUCCUUUUUUUGCACCAUUGGAGUUGCUCUAAGCCACUAAAGGGAAGUUGGCUAAAGAUAGAAUUAGUUAAGGAAAAUGAUGUGUCAUCUUUAGCCAAGUGUUAUUUUAGCUAACCAUUGAGUUUACAUUCGAUAGGUCAUGAUCCCGAAAAAGUUUGCUCUUUCGCUUAUAUGUCUUUGUCGUUAAUGCGCUGUUGCAAUUAUAUGAUUCAUUACAAGUACCCUGUGGCUUGUACCCCGCUUUGUUCGAGAACUCCUGUAAUAAGACUGGCCGAAAAUAAGAGAAAUACGGUUAUGACGAACUUAGAGUGUAAAUGACUUCUUUCUAUUACUAUGAAGAUUAUAAAAGGUGUAAAUACUUUCUUCGUAGAUUUUAUUGAAGGAACUAUUAUAAAACCUGAUGAAUCUGAUAAAGACUUUAAUCGUUCGAUGUGAUGUGAUUAUUUGGUGAUUUGAUGGCUGGUUAAUUCAAUAAAUGAAGAUUUUACUGAAAAUUUUAAUUUUGUUGAGAGUUCUUCUUAGCUAUGGCAUGAAAUUUGCGAAUACAUUGCUCAAUCUAAUGGACCUUUGAUAUAUUAAUUACAUUGGUGGAGCCACAUUGGGUCACGUGACCCCUCAAAUUUUUAAAAAAAAUUAAAGAUUUUUCAUGAAAAAAAAAUGAAACUAGGGAAAAGCACAAAAGGCACGCUGCACUCUUAAUGUCAGUUUCUGCUUUUUGGCCCACUUGUAUAUGUUUAUUAAUUAUAGUGCUCCCAAACUUCCCAACUCUCAAUUCUUAUCAAAUUUUAAAUUAAAUUAAAAAUCAUUUAAUUUUGAAAACUACCAGUUUCUCUCUCAUUCCUUUCCCAAUACAGUCAAUUACUCAAUUCUCAAUUUCUAACGCUAAAAAAAAAUAAAAUUAGCCCACUCAUUGCCUUCUCACACUCUUACUGUCGGCUGCCCAGUCAACAUUCAGGCACCGCUGCCCGCACCGGCACUCCGGCAGGCGGCACCGCAGCACCGCUCCUUGCCUCCUCCGACCAGCCCGCAGGCAGCCAUAUCGCAACACGCCAACAGAGCAUUUUACUUGGUACAACAAAUGGAGAAGCAAAAAGAAGUCAGUAGCACGAAUAGUGGUCCUGGUGUUCAUGAAGUGAGUGCAUUUGUUGCACAGAAGCAUCAAUCUUCUUCUUAUCAUAGGGAUAAGUUCAAGAAAGAUUGGAAGAAGGACAAGUAAGAUAGGUUUUAUGAUUACUGCAAGAAGCCGGGACAUACCAAGGAUGUAUGUUUUAAGCUGGAAGGUUUUCCUCCUGAUUGGUUCACUAAGAAGCAAAGUCCAUCCGGUUCAUCAUCGAGAAUGGUUGCUUAUGUUCAUACUGAAAUUGUUGAUUACACAUAAGACAAUCCUCUUGACUAUGCUGGAGGACCUUCUUAUUCACAUGACAAUGCUGACAAUGGUCAUGAUGCUCUGAUGAUGCAAAACAUAAUGUAGGAAGAAAUGAAAGUUAUGAAGGGCAAGCAGAUUGUUGGAGAAUCUUCAAACAAUCAUCAUGGAGUCUAUGCCAAUUGUUCAGAUUAAGCUGGAUUCCUACAGACUUGUCAUAUCUUCAGUCAACAUCAACUUGCAAAUUUAUUGACAAAAUCUCUUCCUGGUCCUCAACAUCAUAAUCUUGCUUCCAAGCUUGGAAUUGUUGAUCUCACCCAUGUCCAGCUUGAGGGGAGGAUAUGAAGAUUGUAAAGCUAUAGAUACUUUCUUAGUAGAUUGUUGUUGUAAUAAACAGUGGCGGAUCUAGCGUGGGUUCAGUGGAUUCAAUUGAACCCACGUGGAUUCGGGACAAAAGCAGGCAAACUGGGGAAAAACAAAAAUAUAAUAUAUAUAACACAUCGCCUUAUAUAACUCAAAGGUAUUGUAGCUCAAUGAUAAAGCAUGUGUACUACUAUUUGCUCUUCCGCUCAGUGAUCUCAGGUUCGAACCUGGUUAGUGUGUGUUGUCUUUUUCCUUUUUUUUUGUCCGCCCUUUAGGCUUACGUCUUUAUAUUCUUGGUCUUUUUUCUUCUUUUUUUUAAUCCUCCCUUUAUUUUUUUUAUGCUCUCUCUUUUAUCUAUGAUUCUCUCCGUCCUACCAAGUACAAAUGUAGUAAAAGGUAAGAUUUUGUUUAAUUUUCAUUAUCUUUUUGUCCACGUCAUGUUUAUGUUAGCUAAUUGUUAAAGUUUCAUAUUUUGUUAUACAUAUACGUGUAUAUAUAUAGUUUUAACUUUUAACACUUAAUUGAUAAAUUAAUUCAAUGAAAAAAGUCUUAAUAGUUAAUACUCAAUUCGUAGUUUGUAUAACUCUGUAGCUUGUUAAAAAAUUGAUAGUCUUUAAUUACUAUAAAAAAAUAAUUACCAUAUUUUUUUUUGUAAUUAUGUAAUCAAGAAUGAAAGUCACGCUAAGUACAAUGGUUGAAUGGUUUAAUUUUUUUCCUUUUCUUUAAAAAAUUACAACUCCAAAUAGAAAAAUUUUAUUUGAAAAUUAUAUUAAAAUUAUUCCGAACCCACGCGGCCCAAUUCGUAGAUCCGCCAUUGGUAAUAAACAAGUUGUUAAUCCUUAUUGUA
Molecule: long non-coding RNA, 2771 nt
Organism: Beta vulgaris subsp. vulgaris (sugar beet)
Lineage: Eukaryota; Viridiplantae; Streptophyta; Magnoliopsida; Caryophyllales; Amaranthaceae
Exons: 3
Source: RefSeq, a predicted model, not a curated record